UCACACAUACCCGCACCCACCACCCACUCACAUGCUCCCCCCCACCUCCGUCGCCAUGUAAACUAAGGAAUCCAAUGCCUUCAGUUUUUAUGAAUAACCUUAUUAUUACCAAUUUACCAUUCUGUACCUGUACACUACCAAAAACUGCUUUAUUCCUCUGUGUGAGUGUGUUUGUGCAUGUGUGUGUGUAUGUAUAUGUAUAUAUAUAUAUAUAUAUAUAUAUAUAUAUAUUAUCAUCAUCAUCAUCAUCAUCAUGCUGUAUAUUUUCAUUUAAACAGUUUAAUGUGCAGUACUUAAUAUGUUGAGCAGAGUGAAAAUGCUUGCUUAAGAUGAGAACUUUCACCAGAGAAUGAAAUGCAACUAGUUUUGUUAGAACCAUCAUUGUAAUAAACAAUUAUAUACAUGUCUUUUAUCUUUCAUUGGCUGAAACCAAUGAAAGAUGAAACACACUCACUGGUAAAGUUUCCACUCAUUUACUUAUUUAUUUUUACCUAAAACUUUCGUUGCGUCUUGCAGUCUUUUCAAUUGUCGGAUAAUGGACAGAGUCAACGAGUCAACGACUAUUGAAAAUGUUGCAAGACGCAACGAAAAUUUUUAGGAAGAAAUAAAUGGGUAAAUGAGUGGAAACUUUACUGAGAAAGAGUUUUGAAUCACUGAAACAAAUGGUGGAGGAAAAACGAAUCGCAGAGUGGGAAAAAAUGACAAAGAACACAUAGAAGCUUCUAGUCUUAUUGCCAGCCCUUGUAUUAUUUUGAGCUGUUGGAGUGCUGUGGAUAUUUUGACUCUUUGGGCUGAGGAAUGGAAAUGUUUAAGACUGGUGCUAACAAAUUAUUGCCAUCAGGGAUGAAUUUAGCUGAGGGAAUUGUCUGUCAUUUGUGGCUUUGAUCUGUUUUUUUUUUUUUUUUUUAAAUCCUAAACAGAUCUGAAAUGUGAGGAAGUUUCCUUCUGUUUUGUAAUAUAAUAAAGAGAGAAAGUUUCGAAGAAAAGUUAUUAUUUUACAAACAUUAAUUGUUUUGUUAUACAAAACUGUAUUGAUUUUUUUUUAUGAAUAAAUAACUAGUUGUAAAUUAGAA
Long non-coding RNA from Octopus bimaculoides (California two-spot octopus), 1073 nucleotides. Lineage: Eukaryota; Metazoa; Mollusca; Cephalopoda; Octopoda; Octopodidae. The record is from RefSeq and is a predicted model, not a curated record.